This 202-nucleotide small RNA is filed under the name Arthrobacter sp. RNAcentral describes it as "c-di-AMP sequence". It matches the Rfam family "c-di-AMP riboswitch aptamer (ydaO/yuaA leader)". From Rfam's summary of the family: This family represents a conserved RNA structure found upstream of the ydaO and yuaA genes in Bacillus subtilis and related genes in other bacteria. Lineage: Bacteria; Bacillati; Actinomycetota; Actinomycetes; Micrococcales; Micrococcaceae. The record is from RNAcentral.
CCCGUCAGUAUGCCGAGCCCUGCCGCUGACCGGGACCCCAGCGCAUUCCACUGGCAGGGACGGGGGAACCGCGUUUCCACGGCUUUCGUUCGAAGCCUUGGGGUUAAGCCGGUAUCGCUCCGUCCCGUGCGGAGCCGUAACCGGCCGGGUGUCUCCGACCCGAACCCGACAGCUCACCCCGCAGGCAUGGGAGAGGCGAUCA